Molecule: long non-coding RNA, 4032 nt
Filed under: Homo sapiens (human)
Lineage: Eukaryota; Metazoa; Chordata; Mammalia; Primates; Hominidae
Description: HSALNT0144289
Source: RNAcentral
AAUAAGCCCGUAACUGCAAAGGUGCAAAGUGGUGAUGGAUUUUAAGGGAGACCCAGUAGGGAUAAGCGGAAGGGAUGAGGACUGUACAGGGCCAAUAGCAAAGGCCUCAUGUGGGGGCAGCCCUUCCACUACCCACCCCCACUGCCCCCGCUGCCUCAGGAAGAGCUGUGCACAUUAGACAGGAGGGGAUUCAGGUGGUGGAGAGCCUUCCAGGGAACUCAUGGUUCAUACGCAAAGCCAGGUGGUGGCUCUUCUAGAAGGAACGAUGGGUAUUCCAUUAACUGAUGUGUGUGGAAUGCAGGUGCAAUAGGUAUGGCAGGACACUUCAAAUAUUCAUUUGUGGUUUUCAUCCCUUAUAGAUUCCCAUUUCCCCCAUUUCAAGCCUGAAGUCAGGCCCUUAAUGUUUCCUUGCCUCAAGGACUAGCUACCUUAGGGAAAAUUAGAAGUUGCUGAAGGUCUAGCUUUUUGGAAAUCAAACUUAAAUCCAUUUACAUGAAAAAAGGGGACAGGAGUCUGCUUCUGAGAACACCAUAAAGAAAAGGAUGAAAAGGGUUUCCAGGGCUGCCCGUCAGCUGGAGCUACAGAGAAUGGAAGCCAUCUGCUCCAGAGGUGGGCAUGGAGAUGUUGGUGUCCCUGGUUUAGUGGGUUGAAUAAUGUUCCUGAAAUGUUCAUGCUUACCAGGAUCCUCAGAAUUUGACCUUAUUUGGAAAUAGGGUAUUUGCAAAUGUAAUUGGUUAAACAAGUUGAGAUGAGGUCAUAUAGAAAGGCACGGGACAGUUUCUCUCUGAGUCUCCAGCAGGAACUAACUUUUGCAACACCUUCAUUGCAGCCUCCUGAACUGUGAGAAAAUAAAUUUCUGCUGUUUCUGGCCACACAGUUUGUAGUAGUUGGUUAUGGCUAUCCUAGGAAAUGCAUAUAUCUGGGCCAGCUGGACCUUAUGGCAAGGAAGCUUAGGAACCAUGAUCCUUAUGGAUCUCGCAGCCCAGGACAGUGGGAGGCUCUGCAGAAGCAGUGAGGAUUGCCAGGAGUCAGAGUUUCCUCACACCAGGCCCUGCAUUAGCCCUCUGGACUUCUGUAUAUCUUGGGGGCUUCACCAGCCCAGCAAGAUAGAGAUCUAUGUUGAUUUUAAGAACAUAACAUAUAAGUUAACCAGAGCUUCUGGGCCAAGCUAUGCCUGCUAGUAGAGGGUUUGUAAAGAGGAGUAUUAGAAGGAAACAAGUGAGAAACACACGUUGGGACCACACCGAGGGUCUUAACUGCUAGACUCAGAAAUCUGGACUUACACCCCUAGGCAAUGGGAAGCCACAAAUGUUUUAAAGGGUUAGAGCUUGGAAAUGACUUGAGGGAAGGAGAGGGGCUUCGGGACAAUCAAUCUAACUGUCGUUAUCAAGGGUUUUGUUGCAAGUAACAGAACUAUGACCUAAAGUGGAGUAAGCAAAAGAAUUUUAUUGACUCAUGAAACAGAAAGUCCAGAACAGACUUCAUGCAUUAGUGUGAUUACGACUCUGAACCUAAUGUCUUUAUUUGGCUUUCUUCAUGGGCACAAAGAUGCCUCCCAGAGCAACUGUGUUAAAAAUGCUCUUUUGUUCAUGUCCAGUUAGAAAUAAGCUAUAUUCAGGGCUUACUCUUAGAAACUUUUUUCCUAGAAGACUCAAUAUAUUUAUCUCUUUAUCUUGGUGGUCCAAGUAGGGAUUAAAGCUAUUCAUUCAUGAGCUGAUUUUUGACAAAGAGAUUAGGGUGGGCAGGAUGGACUGAGACUAACCAGAUGGCUUAGCAUAGAUUUCGGGUCUAAGACCAUCAGGAGUGGCUUAAUGACAGAGACACAUUCCAAGAAAAGCGUCAUUAGGCAAUUUAAUGGCUAUGCAAACCUCACAGAGUUCACUGUAAUACAGCCUCAGGCAGGACCUUCAGGAUGUGUUCCAGGGAAAGGCACUGUUACCUUAGGGGAUGGCAACUCCAUGCAGGUUAUUGCCCUUAAAGACCUUCCUGUGUUUCAAGAUAUGCAGUGAAAGACAGUGAUAUUGAUGACUGACGCUGUGUGGGCCCAAGCUGAUGUGAGUGUUUGUGUCUUAAUUUUACCAAAAAAGUUGGAAAAGUAAAUGAAUAAAUAAUUUGUAAAUAGAAAAAACUUGUGAAAUAGGGAUAUAAAGAAAAUAUUUUUAGGCUGGGUGCAGUGGUUCAUGCCUGUAAUCCUAGCACUUUGGGAGGCUGAGGUGGGUGGAUCACCUGAGGUCAAGAGUUCAAGGCCAGCCUGGCCAACAUGGCGAAACCUCGACUUUACUAAAAAUACAAAAAUUAGCCUGGCCUGGUGGUGUGCACCUAUAAUGCCAGCUACUCGGGAGGCUGAGGCAGGAGAAUCGCUUGAACCCGGGGAGCGGAGGUUGCAGUGAGCCAAGAUGAUGCCACUGCCAUCCAGCCUGGGCAAAAGAGUGAAACUCCAAUACCAAAAAAAAAAAAAAAAGAAAAGAAAAUGAAAAUAUUUUUAGUGCAGCUGUUCAAUGUGUUUGUAUUUUAAGCUAAGUUUUAUUACAAAAAAGUCAAAAAAGUUUAAAAAGUGUAUAAAGUAAGAAAAGUAACAACAAGCUAGGGUUAAUUUAUUAUUGAAGAAAAACACAUUUUUAUAAAUUCAGUGUAGCCCAAGUGUAGUGUUCAUAAAGUCUACAAUAGUAUACGGUAAUGUCCUAGGCUUUCACAUUCACUCACCACUCACUCACUGACUCAACCUAGAGCAACUUCCAGUAACGCAUGCUCCACUUAUGGUGCCAUUCCUACAGUCCUUAGCGACAUAAUCCAAGCCUAAACAAGGUUCUUGAUGCUGUUCAGAAUUUCAUCAGAGUCUUCUCAGUGUCUUCCUCCACUGCAGUAUGGGACUGGGCAAAAGUCCUCCCUUCUCAGGUAGUAGAACUUAAAAGCUGCUAUAACUCCUUGAUCCAUUGUGUGGAUCAAAGAGGUGGUGCCUGGAGGAAGAAAUAUCACUUUGAUAUUAGGAAUGAAGAUCACCCGUAAAAAAGAGGACAUGUGGGAGCAUUAUCAACAAUAAGUAAAAUCUUGAAAGGUGGAUCAUUCUCCAAACAGUGCUUUUCCUUUCAGUGGUACAGCAUUGCAGGAGAGCAUCCUGGAAAAGAAGCUGCAUCUGUUAUGACUUCUCACUACUCCUGUAGCCCACUGGCAGUAUGUGCUCAGUGCUGUGCUUGAAGACCCUCGGGUUCUCACUGGGCCAGAUCACGAAGGAUUUCAACUAGUAGCCUGUACCAUUUCCCUCAAGCAAGACUGUUACCCUGUCCAUCAAAGCCUUGAAACCUGACAUUGACUUGGCUUCCUUAUAGAUAAAAGUCAUUCCAGGCAUCCAUUUCCAGAAUAAGGAGAUUUCAUCCAUAUUGAAGAUUUGCUCCGGCAAGUAAAUUUCCUCCACAGUCAGCUUAUCUACAGUUUCCAAAAAUUCUUCAGCUGCCUUCACAUCAGCACUCACAGACUUACCACUCACUUUCAUAUUACAUAAUAAAGAACGAUUCCUGAGUCCUUUAAACCACGCAGAGCUAGCAGUAAAUUCAACAUCCUAGUCAAAUCCAGCCUUUUCUUUCAGCAUCACAAACUUUCUGUUUUGGCUGGGAUCAUCGUGGGGCUGGGUGGAAUACAUGUGUGUGUCAGUCUAGUCUUCAAUCCGGGUCAUAAGAAAUUUCUCUGUAUCUGGUAUAGACCCUUCUUAAAUUGUUGAUAGUCUCAUUGCCUCCAAUGAUGCAGAUAGUUUCAACUUCUGUCACUUUGUUCUUCUUCCCCAAGAUUGUAGCUAUGAUCGAAUGCGACCUACCUGCCUGGGGAGCAAUAACCAUCACCAAUUUUCCACCUCCGUGGUCUUUAAUCACUUUUAAUUUCAUUUCCAGCUCAAUCACUGAUAUGGUUUGGUUGUGUCCCCACCCAAAUCUCAUCUUGACUUGUAGUUCCCAUAAUCCCCAUGUGUCGUGGGAAGGACCAGGUGGAGAUAAUUGAAUCAUGGGGGCAGUUUCCUCCAUCCUAUUCUCAUGAUAGUGAGUU